Molecule: ribosomal RNA, 253 nt
Filed under: uncultured bacterium
Lineage: Bacteria
Description: partial 16S ribosomal RNA
Rfam family: Bacterial small subunit ribosomal RNA
Source: RNAcentral
UACGUAGGGGGCAAGCGUUGUCCGGAUUUAUUGGGCGUAAAGAGCGUGUAGGCGGCCAGACAGGUCCGUUGUGAAAACUCGAGGCUCAACCUCGAGACGCCGAUGGAAACCGUCUGGCUAGAGUCCGGAAGAGGAGAGUGGGAUUCCUGGUGUAGCGGUGAAAUGCGCAGAUAUCAGGAAGAACACCCGUGGCUAAGGCGGCUCUCUAGUACGGUACUGACGCUGAGACGCGAAAGCGUGGGGAGCGAACAGG